UAAUGCAUUUCUCUUAGAUGAAACAGAAGGGGAAGACCUUUGGUUUGGGAGGCCACUGUAGCGACCUUAUUACUACAGGGAUCAUCCCCACCAGCCUCUUACUAACUGCUGAAUACCCUCCAUGUUCCAGGGACUUAUGAGGCACUAUCUCUGCUUCACAUCAACCUGCAAGGAGAUAAUGCUUUCUGGAUAAGGGAAGGUUGAGUAGAGCUGCAAAGCUGGAGAAGAUGGAGACCUGAGGCCCACAGAGUACAGGUGACAUGCCCAAGGUCCCAAAGCAAGCCAGUGGAAAAGCCAGGACUGCAUCAUGGUCUCUCAACUCACACGUCAGUGCCCUCUCGACUGCAGUAGCUAUGGCAACAUUUUCAUUUUGCUCUUUGGAGAAGUGAAUAAAGGUAGGGAGCAGAAUAUUACGUUUUUGGAUUCUCUGCAGACUUCAGUAACCUCUGUUAUCCUGGCCUCCACUGUCCAGGCUGUGGUUGCCUCCUAUGGUAGCCCUUCGAUGGAAAGUUGGGUCCUAAGCCAAUCAGUUUUGAGUUGGCUCAGAGUUCCUACCAGGGCUGGUGCUGUCCCCUUGCACGUGGCUCAGGACCUCUCGGUCUGUAAACAGGCGGAAGGCAAUCUGCUCACACUCCCGCUUGGUCCCACAUUCAAACAAACACCCAAACAAGCCCUCCUCCUCCAGAGCAGCCAAAUCAGAGUAGCCACAGGGCCCGCAGUGCAAGAUCCAGGGACGGGACCAGCAGGCAGCCUCCAACGGGCUCUGGUUGAGGUAGAUGCCUAGGUCGACCCUCCGGUUCUUACUGGUUGGGUGUGAGUACAAGAGCCAUGAUUCUGACAGGGUUCUAGCUUCUGGCUCUAGCCUCAGUGAGCUGUCCAGCAGAUGGCUCUGCUGAAUGGUAGGAGCAUCUUUGCCAGCAGGGUGCUUGCACCCAUUUGCGAUCUCCAGGGACCGGAAACUCACCACACUGCCUUGGCAGCCAUGAGGGGGCUCACAGAGCUGUUGGCUCAGAGCUGGUUUCUGAAAGCAUUCACCAUGGUCAGUGCUGAGAGCCUCCGCUCGGCACCUGUUUGGUGUCCGGGCACUGCAAUACAGCACAGCGUGGCCAGCCUUCCCAGUUACCUCUGCCACUUCGCACUCCACCGUCACCAUGGGCUUAAUAAGCCUGCCAUGGUGCCAUGUGGCUCCUAGGUCAUCACUAUAGAUCAUCAGGGAAUGAGGCCUGGCUUUAUAUGGUAGCCGAAAGCAAAAGAACCGGUAAGGGAUGUAGUAGGCGUAUGCAGGGAUGAUCAGCCUCCCUGACUGCAGCUGGAUGCCAUGACCUGGGCCCACAGCAAACGUGGCCCAGUGCUCCACCUCUGGGCCAAUGACCUCCUCGGUCAGGUCCCUCACCUCGCUCCAUGAAUAGCCAGCAUCCUGACUGCAGAUGAAGCAGAGGCGGGCAGCAUUCCUGCCUGACACAAUCUGUCGACGCUCAGUGACAUGGCCCCGCACACAGAUGAAGAAUAGGUACACACGGCCACUCUUCUGCUCCCACACAGGACAGGGGUUCAUGGUCCGAUGCCCAGGUAAUGUGGCUUCCAUCAGUGGCUUCAGGGGUUCCCACUAGACAAGGGAAGGGAGAAAGAGCAGGAGUGAAAGACUAAUAGGAAGACAUGAGGCUCAUUAAAAGCAUUAAUACUGGGGACUUCUCUGACGGUCCAGUGGUUAAGAAUCUGCCUUCCAAUGCAGGAGAUGCGGGUUCAAUCCCUGGUCGGGGAACUAAGAUCCCACAUGCCGCGGGGCAACUGAGCCCGUGCGCCACAACAAAAGAUGCUGCAUGGAAAGAUCCCGCAACAAAAGAUCCUGCAUGCCUCAACUAAGACCCGA
Lagenorhynchus albirostris (white-beaked dolphin) is the source of this 1870-nucleotide long non-coding RNA. RefSeq lists it as uncharacterized. The record is from RefSeq and is a predicted model, not a curated record. The transcript is spliced from 3 exons. NCBI's taxonomy places the organism in Eukaryota, Metazoa, Chordata, Mammalia, Artiodactyla, Delphinidae.